Non-coding RNA from Trichonephila clavipes, 75 nucleotides. The record is from the annotation of a GenBank genome assembly. Lineage: Eukaryota; Metazoa; Arthropoda; Arachnida; Araneae; Nephilidae.
GUCAGGAUGGCCGAUCGGUCAAAGGCGCUGCGGUCAUCACUUCUGUGGGCGUGGGUUCGAAUCCCACUUCUGACA